GAUGAACGCUGGCGGCGUGCCUAAUACAUGCAAGUCGAACGAACAGACGCGGAGCUUGCUCCUCUGUCGUUAGCGGCGGACGGGUGUGUAACACGUGGAUAACCUACCUAUCAGACUGGGAUCACUUCGGGAAACCGGCGCUAAUACCGGAUAAUAUAUUGAACCGCAUGGUUCAAUAGUGAAAGACGGUUUUGCUGUCUCUUCUAGAUGCAUACGCGCCGCAUUGGCUAGUUGGGAAGGUAACGGCUUUUCAAGGGUACGAUGCGUAGCCGACGUGAGGGGGUGAUCGGCCACACUGGAGCUGAGACACGGUCCAUGCUCCUACGGGAGGCAGCAGUAGGGAAUCUUCCGCAAUGGGCGAAAGCUUGACGGAGCAACGCCGCGUGAGUGAUGAAGGUCUUCGGAUCGUAAAACUCUGUUAUGAGGGAAGAACAAAUGUGUAAGGAACUAUGCACGUCGUGACGGUACCUAAUCAGAAAGCCACGGCUAACUACGUG
This 497-nucleotide ribosomal RNA is filed under the name uncultured bacterium. Its description in RNAcentral is "partial 16S ribosomal RNA". It matches the Rfam family "Bacterial small subunit ribosomal RNA", at positions 28 to 507 of the family's 1533-position model. The record is from RNAcentral.